AAGGAUAUGGACAGUAUAUCUUCAUAGGAAAUGUCUCUGUUGAGGAGGGUCUUCACGACUUAUUGGCUCCUGAUCUCACCAUAGCCGACGAGUGGACCUACUGUGAGACAGACAUUGACCCAGCACACCGCAAGCUGAGUCAGCUUCAAGCUGUGGAACGAUACCUCACAGGCAAAGAGC
This is a non-coding RNA of Neolamprologus brichardi, 180 nucleotides long. The record is from RefSeq and is a predicted model, not a curated record. NCBI's taxonomy places the organism in Eukaryota, Metazoa, Chordata, Actinopteri, Cichliformes, Cichlidae.